Molecule: long non-coding RNA, 563 nt
Organism: Cavia porcellus (domestic guinea pig)
Lineage: Eukaryota; Metazoa; Chordata; Mammalia; Rodentia; Caviidae
Exons: 2
Source: RefSeq, a predicted model, not a curated record
UUUCAGACCGUCCUAAUUAUAGGCUAUCAGGAAUAGAAUUAGAGAUGGCCUAACUAGGUCAACAGAAUCCAGCGAUAACACGCUGCCAUGCGGUGGGGUCCCUGGCAGGAGCGAAGCCUUUUACCCGCUGACACCAGGGAAACCUGCUGAGCCCAGGAGCUGCCACCACUGGCCCAACAAUGCUGAGUAACGCUGCCCGGAGACAGGAAGCGCCUGCUGCACCGCAGAUUUCAUAACCUUCUGACCAACUCACAGUGGCCUUUCAUUCCUCUCCCCGGCUCAGAAGGAGGAAGAUGGUUGUGCCCCUGGAUGGGGGACCCUGGAGGAUGUCCUAUAUCACAGAGGAUCCACUACGCUGCUGACCCUUAGAGGAGAAAUUGAAAAUGGGUGUGCAGCAGUCUCUGCGACCAAGGUUACCCGGGCGGGAGUUCGCUGUACCAAUAAAUGUCUGGAACUGAAUGACCACCACUGUGAGCACCUCUUGCAUUUGCAGAGGCCGAAGGUAACUUGUAUGGAUCUCAUGAUGUCUCAGUACAUUAGUAUUAAAAUAUUUAUGCACGUUU